GAGCCACUUUUGGGGAAUUUUCCGCAAUGGGCGAAAGCCUGACGGAGCAAUACCGCGUGAGGGAAGAAGGCCCGUGGGUUGUAAACCUCUUUUCUCAAGGAAGAAUUUCUGACGGUAUUUGAGGAAUCAGCAUCGGCUAACUCCGUGCCAGCAGCCGCGGUAAUACGGAGGAUGCAAGCGUUAUCCGGAAUUAUUGGGCGUAAAGCGUUCGUAGGCGGUUUAUCAAGUCUUCUGUCAAAGCUUAGGGCUUAACCCCGGUUAGGCAGUAGAAACUGUUAAACUAGAGUACGGUAGGGGUAGAGGGAAUUCCCUGUGUAGCGGUGAAAUGCGCAAAUAUCGGGAAGAACACCGAUGGCGAAGGCACUCUGCUGGGCCGAAACUGACACUCAGCGACGAAAGCUAGGGGAGCGAAAGGGAUUAGAUACCCCUGUAGUCAAA
Molecule: ribosomal RNA, 438 nt
Filed under: Stanieria sp. MKC.22A
Lineage: Bacteria; Bacillati; Cyanobacteriota; Cyanophyceae; Pleurocapsales; Dermocarpellaceae
Description: bacterial SSU rRNA
Rfam family: Bacterial small subunit ribosomal RNA
Source: RNAcentral